This is a long non-coding RNA of Mus musculus (house mouse), 473 nucleotides long. RefSeq annotates it as predicted gene, 31847. The record is from RefSeq and is a predicted model, not a curated record. NCBI's taxonomy places the organism in Eukaryota, Metazoa, Chordata, Mammalia, Rodentia, Muridae. The transcript is spliced from 3 exons.
CUUCUUGUCUGCUGGUAGUUCUGUCCUGGCUGCCAUACUUAGCAUUUGGAAGAGCUGUUAGGCAGAAAUGGUUCAAGACCUAGACUGAUUUGCUGCUGUGGGUAGGGAGCCCACAUACCCUGCCAAGGAAGAAAGGCUGGACUUGCUAGUGAGAGAGCAAUAGCAUCCUUAAUGGAAAAGGCUAUACAUGGUUCUUUCAAGAGUUCUGAGAUGCACUGGAAGACAGUAUGAACACUGGGAAGAGAAUGAAAGUGGACAGAGGCUCCUGGGUGAUGUCAAUAUAAAAGAUAAUUGUACUUGGGAUGUGCUUACAAAUGCAACUGGUUAAAAAAAGUGACAGGAGUUGAUUGUCACAGGGUCCUAUGUGUAGGUUUCAAAGACCAUUGUCUUUACAUAGACAAGGACCUUGGAUCAAGGAAAUAUUACAUAACUGGUUUGAAUCCAUGUAAUUAGCUAGAAGUAGGAAAACAUUC